GCCUUUGCCUCCUCCCACCCCACCCCCACUCAUCCACCGCCUUGAUGAUUGCCCGCGAGGACGGGGGAAUCCCUCUCGGGCGACGGCAACAAAAAGAGGCGGAGACACUCGAGCCCACCUGCUCGCUCGAGUCGUGCCACCGAGGGCGCCGGCGGAGGGGUGCCGGAUCGGUGCGCUCCCCCACGCUCAACCGGACAUUCGCCCGCCAAGCCAGGAUCGGUUGCUGCGCGGGGGUGGGUCGUGCGGUUCGCUUUCCGGCCCCCUGCGUUCGGGACGGCCCGACGCCCCCCCCCCGCCCGGCGGCCCGCGCGGGGGCAUCUCGGCCGCCCCCCCCCCCACCACGGCGGCAUGGACGUGCGGCCAACGGGCCCUUCCUGUCCGACGCCGCCCCUACCCCGCAUGCGCGCCGCGCGGCCGGCGCCGGGCUGAGACGGGUCUCGGCCGUCUGCGCGCCAUUCGCCUACCCACGGUGGCCACGGCCGCUUUGGGCACGAAGGUGGUGUCAACGGCCCUCCUGCCGUUGGCGCUGGCACCGUCCCGCCGCGCGGCGGCACCGCAAAGCAGCCGCCGUGCGAGCAGCGCCACGCCGAAAGGGCAGAGCAGACCCUCUGACGGACCCCGCUCGCGCGAGCACACCGCCCUACGCCUGGCAAGCCGAGCCCUGGCUACUUUGAUGGCUCCUGCAACGUGCCGGCCAGUGUCGCGCAUGGGUUGGAGGUCUACGCCGGGAAGGCGGAAGGGGCAGCGAUCCUCCUCCGGGCACGCGCGUGCAACGAGCCGUGUCCCUCCCGGAAAUGGACAGUGAGCUUGGCCGCGUCGUGAACAGUUCGCACUGUGGUGGCGGCGGCCCAGUCGUAGAUGGACUCGUGGAGCACCAGCGCAACGCCCCCGACUAUGCGUUUGUGGUGUGCUGCAUCGAGGUGUCCGUAUCGCUUGCGCAGAUCAAGUAUUUGUUGUCGCGCCCAUCCAGCAGAGUAGCUCAAGUCUGGUUUAGUCGUUGUGUUUGUUACCGCACUGGGUUGUACGAUUCGGGAGCCGUUCUAGGAGCGUGAGGACCGAAUGCAACAUCGCUGGGUAUCUGAACGAGAACUUCCCGUGUUACCAGGACGGUCGUAGGUACGUAGUCGGGCCUGAGGGGUGCAUCCGUCGAGGAGGGUCAUCUCAGCAAGGCCACACCGUCACUCCUGCAACCUCGUCCUGGCGAACAGAGGAGGGCCUAUUGCCUAUACGUGCAUCCUCGUGCAUGAGCAGGGAGAGGCCGCGGUCGUGCUUCUUUUCCCUCGCUACAUGGGAAUGCUGAAACGCCGAGAAAUGGCGUGCCGCACAGGCCUGUUGGGGUGUGUAUGGAGUGCAUCUCCAGCAGCAUGCAGACUUGUAUCGGGGGUGCACCAGGAAACGGGGCUAAGGACCCGCGCCAGCGUAGCCCAGCACAAUCUACCUGCAUUGCAUAGAGGGCGCAGUAGGUGGGAAAUCACGCUCGGCACCACUACAACGCACCAAAAGCUAACAAAGAGCAGGUGGAUGCGCACGCUUGUUGGAUUGCCGAGACGAUCUGUGGUGAGCUGUGGCACACCUGUGAUUAUGGCUGCGUGCCUCUUUAGGCACAGCGCCAGCCCAAGCCUGUCUGCUGGCACAAAG
Molecule: unclassified non-coding RNA, 1638 nt
Filed under: Leishmania donovani
Lineage: Eukaryota; Euglenozoa; Kinetoplastea; Trypanosomatida; Trypanosomatidae
Description: gene:unknown
Source: RNAcentral